AUUGAACGCUGGCGGCAGGCCUAACACAUGCAAGUCGAGCGGAGCGGCGGACGGGUAAGUAAUGCCUAGGACUCUGCCUGGUAGUGGGGGAUAACGUCCGGAAACGGGCGCUACUACCGCAUACUAUCAGAUGAGCCUAGGUUGGAUUAGCUAGUAGGUGGGGUAAAGGCCUACCAAGGCGACGAUCCGUAACUGGUCUGAGAUGAUGCUCAGUCACACGUGAGCUGAGACCCGGUCCAGACUCCUACGGGACGCUGCAGUUGGGAAUAUUGGACAAGGGGCCGAAGCCUGAUCCAUCCAUGCCGCGUGUGUGAUGUAGGGCUUCAGAGUGUAAAGCGCUUUAAGUUGGGAGGCGUUACCAACAGAAGAAGCACCGUCUUACUUCGUGCCUGCAGCCUCGUUAAUUC
RNAcentral lists this ribosomal RNA (407 nucleotides) under uncultured bacterium. Its description in RNAcentral is "partial 16S ribosomal RNA". It matches the Rfam family "Bacterial small subunit ribosomal RNA", at positions 30 to 526 of the family's 1533-position model. The record is from RNAcentral.